CCUCCCCAAAUGUGGGACCAAAUAAGACGCGAGCUCGGUGCGCCUGAAGCAAAAAUCUGAGUGGAGGUCAUCUCUAAGUCACUGUGGAAGGACGACGUUAGGGAUUUGUUCCAACAAGCCUUUGAAAGAAUUUGAUCAGUGGACUAUGGAGCUCUUAAAGUCAAAGACAACAAAGCCAGUUAAUUCCCUGCUUGAUCGGGAUUCAAAAGCUAUAAAAAUCUGUCCCGCUCUGUUGAAAGCGCCAGGACUGGUCCGCGUGCAGGAAAAGACGAGGGAGCAGGCGUCUGCGAGAACUGGCUGAGCGCGCGGACCGGGAAAUCCACCGGCAGCGGGUGCGGUCCCCACCCCGGACCCCCGCGGUCACACACUCACUCGCCUGCACGCACGCCUCCUCGUCCCAGCCUGGUGACAUCUAGACUUCAGCACCGAAGAGUCACAGAUGACAGUCGGUGACAGAGCUCCGGCGGAUGCUUCAAUCCCAUGUGUUUCCUCAAGACCGAGAUUCCAGUUGCUCUGGCUUUUUUCGUGUUUGUUAGUUUUUUUUCAUUUCUUUUUUUUUUUUUUUUUUCCCCUGGCAGGGGAGUAACGCACUGAUCUUUUUAUAGUUUCCAGUAUUUUAAAUGAACCUCAGGAAGAAUGGAUUAAUAAAACAUGUGUUGAAAAUUA
This is a long non-coding RNA of Balaenoptera ricei (Rice's whale), 666 nucleotides long. RefSeq lists it as uncharacterized. Lineage: Eukaryota; Metazoa; Chordata; Mammalia; Artiodactyla; Balaenopteridae. The transcript has 2 exons. The record is from RefSeq and is a predicted model, not a curated record.